This 404-nucleotide ribosomal RNA is filed under the name uncultured bacterium. Its description in RNAcentral is "bacterial SSU rRNA". It matches the Rfam family "Bacterial small subunit ribosomal RNA", at positions 356 to 773 of the family's 1533-position model. The record is from RNAcentral.
UAGGAAUCUUGCACAAUGGGCGAAAGCCUGAUGCAGCGACGCCGCGUGGAGGAGGAAGGCCUUCGGGUUGUAAACUCCUUUUGUUGGGGAAGAACACAAUGACGGUACCCAACGAAUAAGCUCCGGCUAACUCCGUGCCAGCAGCCGCGGUAAUACGGAGGGAGCGAGCGUUGUCCGAAGUUACUGGGCGUAAAGCGCGCGUAGGCGGGGAAUUAAGUGAGAAGUGAAAGGCUGGGGCUCAACCCCAUGCAGUGCUUCUCAUACUGGUUCUCUUGAGGGUGGUAGAGAGAAGUGGAAUGGCUGGUGUAGCGGUGAAAUGCGUAGAUAUCAGUCGGAACACCGGUGGCGAAGGCGGCUUCUUGGGCCAUUUCUGACGCUGAGGCGCGAAAGCUAGGGGAGCGAAC